UCCCGUGUGGCUCAGUUGGUAGAGCAUGGUGUUUGCAACGCCAGGGUUGUGGGUUUGAUUCUCACAGGGGAC
This 72-nucleotide transfer RNA is filed under the name Salmo salar (Atlantic salmon). It matches the Rfam family "tRNA". Rfam says of the family: Transfer RNA (tRNA) molecules are approximately 80 nucleotides in length. Their secondary structure includes four short double-helical elements and three loops (D, anti-codon, and T loops). The record is from Rfam by way of RNAcentral. Lineage: Eukaryota; Metazoa; Chordata; Actinopteri; Salmoniformes; Salmonidae.